RNAcentral lists this long non-coding RNA (2240 nucleotides) under Equus caballus (horse). Its description in RNAcentral is "lncRNA (ENSECAG00000056175.1)". Lineage: Eukaryota; Metazoa; Chordata; Mammalia; Perissodactyla; Equidae. The record is from RNAcentral.
UGGAGACUAUCCCAUUCAACAUCAACUUGGUAGGAGAGACUAGCCUCUUUUACUCCUUAUUUCCCUAUCACUCUGCGACCUUUCACUUCUUGCCUCCAGCUGGCUGCAAGAUUGCAGCCAAGUUAUUUAAGCACUUGUGCCUUGGUUUCUCCAUCUGUAAAAUGGGGCUAUAAGAGUACCUACAGCCUAUGGUAGUUGGGAGAGUUCCAUGAGCUAAUGCACACAAAGCGUGGAACACGGUUCAGACAAAGUAACUGCUUAGAAAUGCUGUCUGUUAUUACGUGGGUCAAAUAAAUAAUGCCACUUAGAGAUUGCGCCAUCUCUGUCUCUAUUAGGCCACUGUGUGCUAACAUCUAUGUUAUAAAACUACAAGGGCACCGAACAUUUUCUUGGAGGAAGACGAAUCUUGGUUCCAGGCUCUUAUUCUCACAUGGACUUCAGGACUGGUCCCUCCUAAGGAAUGUGAAAAAGAAGCGUUCGGAUUCCAGGCUGCUCAUAAAUCUGCCUUCUGUGUUAUCAUUUUUUACCUGCCUACUUCUGUUUCUCCUGGGUUCGAAGGAAGUGCUUUACUUUAGAAAUGAUUCACUACCCCUGGGCCACCGACGGCUUUGAAAGCCACACGAGACAAGUUCCAUUUCAAACCCCCCGAUUUAUAAUCAUGGGGGAAAGCUGGCUGUUGUCUUGAGGGUUGUCCACGAUCUCACAAACCCAACCUUUGUUCCUCAUGUGCCCAUUUUUCAAAAACUUACUACUCAAAUCUCUGAAAGUCAUCGCCCCCGAGGAAACGUUUAUCUUUGGUUGGACAUCUUUUGCGCUGUAUCCCUUUUCAACUGUCCUUUCUAAUAUAGGAUAAAUGGCUCUGCGGGGUUUGGAGUGAAGAGUUACGUCUUGCAGCAUGUUUGUGAGUGUGUAGAAACCCUACUCCCCUCCCCUCUGCCCCUGGGCCAGAGAUGGGGGAAUAACCAGUUAAGACAAAUGGGUUUGGGCGAUGUUGUGGGUUGAACUGUGUCCCUCAAAAUUCAUGUUGAAGUCCUCACUCCCAGAACGUCAGAAUGUGGUCUUAUUUGGAGAUCGGGCUGUUGCAGAUGUAAUUAGUUAAGAUGAGGUCAUACUGGAGUAGGGUGAGCCUCUAAUCCGUUAUAACUGGUGUCUUUAUAAAAAGGGAAACUUUGGAGACAGACAUGGAUGGAGGGACAUUGCCAUGUGAAGAUGAAGGCAGAGAUCUACAAGUCAAGGAAUGCCUAAGACUGCCAGCAAGACGUCAGAAGCUAGGAGAGAGGCAUGGACACUUUCCCUCACCGCCCCCAGAAGGAACCAACCCUGCCGGUGGCCCCUUGAUUUCAAACUUCCAGCCUCCAGAACUGGGAGAUAAUGAAUCUCUGCUGUUUAAGUCACCCCAUUCGUGGCUGUUUGUUAUGGCAGCCACAUGGAAACGGAGGUGUUUACGAUGUUCGUCUAAAGUGAAUGGGGGAGGAGCAGAGCCCAGUGUGCAAACUCUGAGGUCACACAGCUGGGUUCAGAUCCUGAAUUCUGCCUUUCGCCAGCUAUGUGUAAAUUGGUGACAAUUGCUUCCCUUCUCCAAGCCUUCUUUGCGAUGUCAACAGACAGAGGGUCAGGCCCACAAACCCUGAUCUGCAACCCUUGGAGCCCUGUGUCUUUUGGAAUUCAGAAGACCAUGGAAAUGAGAAAGCAGGGAUUUAGAUGCUGAAAGGAAGGACUCAGAGCUUGGAAGCCCAGAAGAGCUUGUUUAUUCUUCAUGGAGAGUUGGGCUGGCAGGAGGUGAGCUGUCAAAUCUCUUUCAUUGCUUCUGGAAAAGACACCACCACACACCAAUGAGGGUGGCCAGCUGAGAUCUUGGACCAGGGCUGCCCGUCUCUGGAGCCCACGUUCCUGACCACCCUGCUUCCCUGCCUCCCACUUUGCCUUGCUGCAUCUCAAGGGCAGUGAGCAGAACGAGGGCAGGAUACUGUGGUCCUGGUUCAUUAACUAGCUGUGUCUCCUUGGGUCUGUCCCUCUGUUUCUCUUGGCCUGGUAAAGUAAGAGGGAUGGGUUAGAUAACCUCUACGAUUAUUUUCUGAUGAUUCCCCCAAAGAAGGGCGUUCUUGCAGCCAUCCAUCCAACAAACAUGUCUUGAGCUCCUCGUGGGUUCCAGACCCGGUACUGGGGUAUGGGGCUCUAAAAAAGAAGAAGAGAGAGCCCUGCAGCUGAGGAUUCCUACUCUAGAGGUGGACACAGACAGG